CGUUAAAACACCGGUUACCAUAGGAUCACCGAAGUUAAGCAACGUUGAUCCUGGUCAGUACCUAGAUGGGUGACCGCUUGGGAAUACCAGGUGCUGA
This 97-nucleotide ribosomal RNA is filed under the name Acanthosepion pharaonis. The record is from RNAcentral. Lineage: Eukaryota; Metazoa; Mollusca; Cephalopoda; Sepiida; Sepiidae.